This 459-nucleotide ribosomal RNA is filed under the name uncultured bacterium. Its description in RNAcentral is "partial 16S ribosomal RNA". It matches the Rfam family "Bacterial small subunit ribosomal RNA", at positions 338 to 795 of the family's 1533-position model. The record is from RNAcentral.
CCUACGGGAGGCAGCAGUGAGGAAUAUUGGUCAAUGGCCGAGAGGCUGAACCAGCCAAGUCGCGUGAGGGAAGACGGCCCUACGGGUUGUAAACCUCUUUUGUCGGGGAGCAAAGCGAACCACGUGUGGUUCAUUGAGAGUACCCGGAGAAAAAGCAUCGGCUAACUCCGUGCCAGCAGCCGCGGUAAUACGGAGGAUUCGAGCGUUAUCCGGAUUUAUUGGGUUUAACGGGUGCGUAGGCGGAGCGUUAAGUCAGUGGGAAAAUUUAGGGGCUCAACCCCUUCCCGCACUUGCAACUGGCCUUCUUGAGGGGAAGAGAAGUAGGCGGAAUGCGUGGUGUAGCGGUGAAAUGCAUAGAUAUCACGCAGAACCCCGAUUGCGAAGGCAGCAUGCCGGCUUCCGACUGACGCUGAAGCACGAAAGCGUGGGGAUCGAACAGGAUUAGAUACCCGAGUAGUC